GUUAUCAAAAACAUAGCCUCUAGCAACAACAAGUAUUAGAGGUAAUGCCUGCCCAGUGACACUGUUAAACGGCCGCGGUAUCCUAACCGUGCAAAGGUAGCGUAAUCACUUGUCUUUUAAAUAAAGACUAGAAUGAAUGGCCAAACGAGGUUCCACCUGUCUCUUACAAACAAUCAGUGAAAUUGGUCUUCCCGUGCAAAAGCGGGAAUAACACUAUAAGACGAGAAGACCCUGUGGAACUUUAAAUAUAAAUCAACUAUUAUAUUUACCACCCUAAAGACUUAUAAUUAACUAGUUCUGAUCCAUAUUUUUGGUUGGGGUGACCUCGGAGUAAAACAAAACCUCCGAAAAAAAGAACAUAUUUUCUUAACCUAGAUUUACAACUCAAAGUGCCAACGGCAAAAUGAUCCAAUAUAUUUGAUCAACGAACCAAGCUACCCCAGGGAUAACAGCGCAAUCCCAUCCUAGAGUUCCUAUCGACGAUGGGGUUUACGACCUCGAUGUUGGAUCAGGACAUCCUGAUGGUGCAACCGCUAUCAAGGGUUCGUUUGUUCAACGAUUAAUAGUCCUACGUGA
RNAcentral lists this ribosomal RNA (576 nucleotides) under Caretta caretta (loggerhead turtle). RNAcentral describes it as "partial 16S ribosomal RNA". It matches the Rfam family "Bacterial large subunit ribosomal RNA", at positions 1802 to 2603 of the family's 2925-position model. The record is from RNAcentral. Lineage: Eukaryota; Metazoa; Chordata; Testudines; Cheloniidae.